RNAcentral lists this ribosomal RNA (425 nucleotides) under uncultured bacterium. RNAcentral describes it as "partial 16S ribosomal RNA". It matches the Rfam family "Bacterial small subunit ribosomal RNA", at positions 354 to 796 of the family's 1533-position model. The record is from RNAcentral.
GUGGGGAAUCUUAGACAAUGGGCGCAAGCCUGAUCUAGCCAUGCAGCGUGAGCGAUGAAGGCCUUAGGGUUGUAAAGCUCUUUCAGGGGGGAAGAUAAUGACGGUAACCGGAGAAGAAGCCCCGGCUAACUUCGUGCCAGCAGCCGCGGUAAUACGAAGGGGGCUAGCGUUGUUCGGAAUUACUGGGCGUAAAGCGCACGUAGGCGGACAUUUAAGUCAGGGGUGAAAUCCCAGAGCUCAACUCUGGAACUGCCUUUGAUACUGGGUGUCUUGAGUAUGGAAGAGGUAAGUGGAAUUCCGAGUGUAGAGGUGAAAUUCGUAGAUAUUCGGAGGAACACCAGUGGCGAAGGCGGCUUACUGGUCCAUUACUGACGCUGAGGUGCGAAAGCGUGGGGAGCAAACAGGAUUAGAAACCCGGGUAGUCC